Molecule: ribosomal RNA, 1403 nt
Filed under: Salmonella enterica subsp. enterica serovar Infantis
Lineage: Bacteria; Pseudomonadati; Pseudomonadota; Gammaproteobacteria; Enterobacterales; Enterobacteriaceae
Description: partial 23S ribosomal RNA
Rfam family: Bacterial large subunit ribosomal RNA
Source: RNAcentral
UCGUCACACUAUCAUUAACUGAAUCCAUAGGUUAAUGAGGCGAACCGGGGGAACUGAAACAUCUAAGUACCCCGAGGAAAAGAAAUCAACCGAGAUUCCCCCAGUAGCGGCGAGCGAACGGGGAGGAGCCCAGAGCCUGAAUCAGCAUGUGUGUUAGUGGAAGCGUCUGGAAAGGCGCGCGAUACAGGGUGACAGCCCCGUACACAAAAGCGCAUGUGCUGUGAGCUCGAUGAGUAGGGCGGGACACGUGGUAUCCUGUCUGAAUAUGGGGGGACCAUCCUCCAAGGCUAAAUACUCCUGACUGACCGAUAGUGAACCAGUACCGUGAGGGAAAGGCGAAAAGAACCCCGGCGAGGGGAGUGAAAAAGAACCUGAAACCGUGUACGUACAAGCAGUGGGAGCACAGGUUUACCUGUGUGACUGCGUACCUUUUGUAUAAUGGGUCAGCGACUUAUAUUCUGUAGCAAGGUUAACCGAAUAGGGGAGCCGGAGGGAAACCGAGUCUUAACCGGGCGUUAAGUUGCAGGGUAUAGACCCGAAACCCGGUGAUCUAGCCAUGGGCAGGUUGAAGGUUGGGUAACACUAACUGGAGGACCGAACCGACUAAUGUUGAAAAAUUAGCGGAUGACCUGUGGCUGGGGGUGAAAGGCCAAUCAAACCGGGAGAUAGCUGGUUCUCCCCGAAAGCUAUUUAGGUAGCGCCUCGUGAAUUCAUCUCCGGGGGUAGAGCACUGUUUCGGCUAGGGGGCCAUCCCGGCUUACCAACCCGAUGCAAACUGCGAAUACCGGAGAAUGUUAUCACGGGAGACACACGGCGGGUGCUAACGUCCGUCGUGAAGAGGGAAACAACCCAGACCGCCAGCUAAGGUCCCAAAGUCAUGGUUAAGUGGGAAACGAUGUGGGAAGGCCCAGACAGCCAGGAUGUUGGCUUAGAAGCAGCCAUCAUUUAAAGAAAGCGUAAUAGCUCACUGGUCGAGUCGGCCUGCGCGGAAGAUGUAACGGGGCUAAACCAUGCACCGAAGCUGCGGCAGCGAACGUAUCACUUAAAGCGAUUCAGCGGGUUACGAUUGACGGAGCGAAGCGACGUCAAAGCGUAUACAAAGUCGAGUCGGUUUAAGGAUACGUUCGUUGGGUAGGGGAGCGUUCUGUAAGCCUGUGAAGGUGUGUCGUGAGGCAUGCUGGAGGUAUCAGAAGUGCGAAUGCUGACAUAAGUAACGAUAAAGCGGGUGAAAAGCCCGCUCGCCGGAAGACCAAGGGUUCCUGUCCAACGUUAAUCGGGGCAGGGUGAGUCGACCCCUAAGGCGAGGCCGAAAGGCGUAGUCGAUGGGAAACGGGUUAAUAUUCCCGUACUUGGUGUUACUGCGAAGGGGGGACGGAGAAGGCUAUGUUGGCCGGGCGACGGUU